This 7804-nucleotide long non-coding RNA is filed under the name Xyrichtys novacula (pearly razorfish). Lineage: Eukaryota; Metazoa; Chordata; Actinopteri; Labriformes; Labridae. The record is from RNAcentral.
UCUUAGGCUUCUGUUCUCCAAUCUCAGAACUUGUGCUGUGCUCCAUCACCAGGGGAACUGAUAGCUUUUAGCAGGCAAACCCUGAGGUGGAAAAGGCUGCUCAGCCUCCCUCUGCCUCUCUCCCCCAAACUCCCUCUUUUUUUCUCUCUCUCUCUUUAGUUUCAUCUUUCUCUUUCACAGCAUUUUGUUUUCCUUUGGUAUCCCUGUGACACUCCCCUUUUCCUUCCCCCCCUCGCAAAGGCAGGUUGGAAUUGAAGUAAAUUUAUUUCUCCUCUCUCCUCAUGCUGCUGCUGCUGCUGUGGACAUAAACCUUCCUCCUUCCAGAGCAGUCAGCGCUGUCACUGAAACGUAUUACCUCUGUUUCCAGAGCUCCUCACACAGGUGGUGUUGUAUUUCCAAGGCUGAAUAACAGGGAUGAUUUCAAGUUGACGUCUCUCUUUUUUUGUUUGUUUUUGCGUGACAACAUAUCACCUUUGUUUACUGUUUCUAUUGUUUCCCUCUGUGAGCAGAUCUGAGCCCGAUGGAGGACAUAAGACAGACCUGGCGGGUGAUGAAACACAAGGACACACAGGGUGGAGAGGCGGGGAGUUGGAACAGUGUGAGGUCUGGCAGAGCAGGUGAGAGAGGGGUUUUUGUGGAUGUUGCUGGUAAAUUCAGCAAAAGGAUUUAAAAAUAGGAGAGGGCAGUGAGUCAGAUCCCUGGACAAAGAGCAGUAAGGAAUUAACUUUUUUUUGUUGUUUUUUUACCUUCUUCCUACCUGCCCCGCGUUCUCACCUUCCAUCCCACAUAAUCACGUCACAGGAAGCACCUCAGGGAGAGGGUCUUUUUCUAACACUGUCUCCCUCUGCUUCCUUUGUUCUCUGAAAAUGAGCACCUCAGAUCUGAUGCCUCCUCCUCUGUUAGUGAACGAAUGUACCGAGCAACAGCGAUUUCCUCGAGCAGGCGUCGCCUCCCGCUGCUCCAGAUUACAGCUCAUUAGUGGUCGCUGCAGAGAGACAGCCCACACCAAUGCCUCCCCUCUGAUUCCCACUUUGUUUCUUGUGAUUCUGGUGUGGCACGCCAUGGUGACAAAAAAAAUGGAGGCUGGUGGUGGUUAUGAGGAAUAAAGGGGCUGGAAGGGAGACCAAGACAAAAACAUGGAGAGUUUUCACAGCUUGUCAGCAGCUGGUGAACAUUUAAAGAGGACAGCUUCAUCAGAUUGACACAGCAGCCUCUUUCCACUGACAUAACACUCUGAGUGGGUAUCUGAAGUGCGAGCUUUUCUGCUGAUAAGCACCUGAGAAGAUGAUCAAGAGGGACUAUCUGUAGAGUUAUAUCCCAUAUAGGCGGACAUUAGCUAUUAACCACCUUCUACAAACAUUAGUGAUGAUCUGCCUGUACAUUUAUUUAAAGUACAAAUAAGGUUGAUCUUUGCUUGUCUUAAAAAAAGUCAAAUAUGUUGAUCUUUGCAUUAAUAUGGACGACACACAAGCUCCACCUAUGAUAAAGUGAAGCCAAAAGAUGAUGAUAUACUCCGCUGUUGAGCCAAGAUAGUACAGUCUACCGUAGACCUGAUUUGUGUGGUCUACGGUAGACUGACACAGAUGCAGUAGCUUAUUGUAUUGCAAAAGACCUGCUACCAAUAAGCACUGUUAGAUUUCAUUUUUUAUUUCGUGAUAUAUAUCGAUAUAGACUGAUAUGAAAAAAAUAUAUUGUGAUGAACCUUUUUCCGUAUCGCCCAGCCCUACUUACAACAUAGCCCCUGUGAUGAUCUGCACAACCCAAAAGACAGCAAACAGACUGUGGAGAGUUGCUAGUGCAAAGACAUGAAAGGCAAAGCCAGGGUGAGAAGUUUGUUUGGGCUGAAGCUCACCAAGCUAGGCUAGGCCUUACAGCCUAUUCACCCUUACCUCUCCUCUUUAAUGAGGGAUGAUAGAAAAAACAGAGAGAAAAAACUGAGAAGACCGUGUAGGGGGGUGUUAUAAAGAGAACAGAGAGGGAAAAGCCAGGGCAAGAAGACUUUUUGGGCUUAGUAACAGCACUGUUAGCUAAGGGCUAAACAGCAGUUUGGUCAUCUUCACCCUGGAACACUGAUGGUACUCUUCUCCAAUUCUCCAACAAAGUCGUUUUUGGAAGCUGCUCAUUACAAUCAAAUAAUAACAAAUAGUCUGAUUGGCAGCCUGAUCUAAAACUUUGUUCACAACGGUAUGACGUCAUGGCAGCAUCUAUGGUUCCCACCCUGAAUGUUGAGAGAGGGUUCAAGGAGGUCAUGUCCAGGGUCACAGCUACAGUUCUUCAAACAUGCCAAGGCUUGUUGGCUGCGUUGACAGUCGAGCUCUUGUACAUCUUUUGUCUUUUGUUUGCGAAAAUAAAACCAAUUGAGAGUGCUUCUCUCUAACUGUCAGCCGUGCCAGGCGCUGCGUGGUAAUUGCCUUUGAACAGCUUUGUGUUUCUGUGCAUUCCCAUUCAUUAUCUGUUUUUCUCUUCCUUCCUGUUUCACAAGACUGGUUGGAAGUGAAGCAUAUCACCCCCACCCCCCACCCACCCCUAAAGUUCCAGUCUUGUUCGCUAUCCUUGGACAAGUUUUGGCAAAGUUACAAAAGGGAACAGAUGCCAGAUGUGCGCAUUGUGUCACUAAACGAAACCCAUUUUUCUGGCUUUUGUUUUUUUUGUUUCCCGAAAAUAGUUCCUCCACAGGCUUGCAAAAUCCUCUUUAAAUCAGAGCACAAUGAUAAUUGUCAUUAUUAUAAAUCGUCUGUGAGGCAGAGGUUCUUUUCAAGAUAAUAGUAGGGAAAAUUAAGCAGCUGCUCCUUUCCUAGCUGGUAAUUGAUCCAUUCAAGCAGCAACCUAGGGUCUAGAGACGUAAAAUCAAUGUGGAGGUGAUAAAAACUGUAGUUCCUGGGUUGUCCACUUGAGGCUGACUGAAGUAGAGUUAUCAGCAAACUGCACCUAAAAGUUAAAAAAAGAAAACCCUGGGUGUAUUUUGCUCUACAACUGAGGAAAACAUUGCAUCACUGUUUUCUACACCUGAGAAGCAAAACAAGAUCAUGGAGAGUACGAAUCAACCAGUCAGAUCAGGUCACUUUCAGUUUACAUCUUUUGCUUCUUCUCGAGAGGGCAGCCCUCCAUCCGUGUACGCUUGGAUGAUUUACAUCCACCAUCCACUGGGGCCCCCUCAGACUGAAUAAGCCUCGACCAUUACAGUCUUGUGGGCAGAGGGAGCUAUGAUAGAAAAAACAAAAACAAAAACUCCAGUCAGUAUUCCCUGUCGCCCGCCUACAAACACAGCUCUGAGCCAUGCUGCACUGUACACUGCUGCCUCUGCCUCCUCUAACCUUACAUGACCUUUGACCCCUACAGUCAUUCUGACAGGCUGUGCUUCUGACAGCCUAUCCCCCGAACUCACUGUGUCUGCGGGAACAGCAGACCAUGAAGCAUGCGAAACGCCAGGGCGAAGAUGUUGAGUUUCUCAGUGUCAACAGACAUCAAACAUCGAACAGAGCCAUUAUUUCAUUACACCGACUUGAAAACUCAUUGCGGGCUGCUUCUGGAAAGCAAACCCAGCUUUCUUUUGUAUCUCCAAGCUUUAAUCGUAUAUCUGUGUUUACACAAACUCAAAAGAUAUACUCUGCGAAGUGUUGCGCUAGCUGGAUGGCACACUUUUGAUUCUUUUGAAUCAGAAAUAAAUCUUCGAUGUGUGACUUCAGUUUCUCUGGCGGGUCCACUCAGAGGCAGGAGUAUGAAAUAUGCUGCUUGUGUCUCAGCUCUGUGGGUCACUUUUGGCUGUAAGGGGAUUGAUUUUUUUCUCCCUCCUGUUUUUUUUUUUUUCAGCUCUCCACUCAGACUUCGCUGAGCACUCCUUCAAAAUAAAACAAACUCAGCCCGGUUGACCCCAAAACAGCAAGACUGACCUGAAAGUAGCUUCAGGGUCAACCCAUUUUCAACAUGCAGCAUAAUGCUACGGUUAUACAGCAAAACAAAUCCACUUAAUUUGGCUCUUUUAUUGUUGAAAAAACUUGUUGGUGCAAGGUCAGGUAAUAAAAUCUGAACUCCAAACCUUUCAAAGUGGAGGACAGUAGCUUUUGGCGUGCAGUCGGAGCCCUUUACUCUGUCAGUUUUUCAUUUUUCAGCUGGUAAUACAGUUUGAAAAUGUACCACAGCUUGUCCUCACUUCAAACCCAACCCCCUCCCCUCCCAUGAUGCACCUUUCCCCACUCUGUGUGUCAGCAAGCCUGGGACACCCACUCAGUCACUAUCUCAACUUCUCCCAUCUAAACAAUUCUGUCAUCAUUUGUCAAACUCCUCUAUCUGUCUCUUCCCUCUCCAUCUGCAUGAGGAGCAGAGUGAUGCUGGGGUGUGAUAGGCGCCCGUCAGGGUCCACGCGUCUCGGUGCACAAACACACGCACACACACACAUUCUCUAUGAGGAGGAUAGAGAUGGAUGCCCUGCACAUUUGAGCAUCCAGACAGAGUGAGUGCAUGUGACAGACAGUCAAUCAGCCCGUGAUGAGAGGUAAUCGCACAGUGGACAGAUCAAUUAGUUAUUUUCUCCAGAGACGAAGAGAAGAAAAACACUGCUGUUCUCCAGGUAAAUGAUUUGCAUUUCACUGCCUUUCAUCUCUCUCAUCCUUCUUGCAUCUUUAUCUUUUCUGUUUUUUUUCUCCCAGCCACCCCCAUUGCUUCCUUCUGUGCACCUCCCUCUCUCCCUCUCCUCUUUGAAUUUGGCUGUUUUGGUUGUUUAUCUCUGCUCAUUUCUCCUCCUGCCUGUCUCAUAGGGAGGGAGGUGGAGAUCCAGACGAUCAGGGCUGACUGAUGGUAUAUGAGCACAGCCUGUGAGUGAUGAGAGCUCUGCCCGGCCGGAUCAUUUAUACUGGGCCAGGCUGAGAACAAACAUAUGUAUCUCAUAGCCAUCGGAGACACUCCAAGGCUGGUUUGGCCACACAAAUACACACAUACACACUCACACACGCAUUCACAGAGGUAAAAACAAACACACAUUAGGACGUGAUGUAUCAAGCUAUGACCUCCUGAAGGGCAAAACUCUCUCUGUAUCUGUUUCACCAGCAGACAUGGACAGGAAAACCCAGUAACAUAUGACCCAUAAAAAGGCAUCUGCUUCAGAGCUCCACUGCUUGUUUAUCUCUUGUUUUCCUGCUGCCCGCUCAGCCAGAGUCAGCCCACAUCAGCAGCUUGAAUUGCUGGAUUUAGAGUUGUUAUGCAUGUAGGUCAUUUUUUCUCUUUGUGUUGCUGUGUUUACUAGCUGUAACAGUGGACAUUCCCUGAGGUUGCAGAAAUGUGGUACAGUCUCGGCUCUCACUGGAGAUCGCUCUGUCCUUCACACCCACUUAAGGCCGGAUCCAGUCAGUGCUUGUCAAAGCAAUUUUACACAGCAAUCUUUAUUUACAGGAAAACCAUCCUGUGCACACACACAGACACAGACGUACACACUCAGAGGAGUCGAUGUUUUUCAAGGGCUUAGAAUUUGUACAGUCAGAUUGGAUUUGGCUGCGCGAUAUGAAGCUUUGACUUUUUGUUACUUUUAACUUUAGUUUAACAAACAUUUACUUUUCGCUUCUGUCCGCUGAGCAUUUAAUGUCCUGAAAAUUUCUUUAAGUUACAAAUCGGUUCAACGGUCACUUUUGUCUUUAUCAUCCUUCCCAAUGAAGGAGUCCAGGGAGCACCAUCACCAUAAGCUGCACUGCAAGCCUGAAUGCUACCGAUGACCCCACCUUUUUAGUUCAGCUGUUCACCGUAACUUUUGAAUGAUGGUGGCCUCUAUCAGAUUCUCAUGUGAACUGGUUUCUGUCCUGAACUUAAAAAACAAAAAACUAAGAUGUUCCAGCAUUAGAUAAAGAAGUACACAAGAAACUCACUGAAUAAAGUGUGUGAGAGGAUUGGUGUCAGCCAAGCAGCUGUUGAAAAAUCCCUACUUUUACAGUUUCUGUAAAACAUAUUUACAAAACAUGACAAAUUUGAUUGUCAAAGUCACAAUGAUGAGAUUUCUGAGAGAAGACGCUAUUUAAGCACGAAGAGGACAAGAUAAGCAAAGACUGCUUUGUCAACGUGGGCGCCAAAACUGACACAAACUGAUAGUUCCUCACAGGAUGAAAAGUAAGGAGACAGAGAGUCCAACAUUUACAGAUGGGGCGCUGGUUUAGUUGAGCACCAUAGAGGAUAUCUUUAUCAUGUUGGUCACAGAUUGAAAUUCCAGUGCUAGCACUAUUGGUUGCAUGUCAUUCUCCCUUCUCUCCUCACUCAAAUCACAGCAAAAACAAAACAAACAAACUUACUCUUUAAAAAUGAGCAGGCUGAUGUUUUAUUGAGUCCUAGUGAGUCUUUCUCACACCCAGAUGUUUUGAACAAGUCAAGAGUGACACCAAAUUCACACCUGGGCUGUUCAGACUGAAGCUGCAUCAUAUAAGAGCUGAUCUAUGUCUGAUUUAGGACCACAUGUGAGGCUGUGACCUGUGCUGUUAUCAAAGUGUAAUACAAAUCAAACCACAGUCCCAGAUGAGCAACAUGAAUAAUGGUUUGGAUGAAGUAACAACAAAGGGGGAUAAUUGAACCCUGAUCUGUGGACAAGCUUCUGUCUUGGAGUGAUGGAAAGGUAAAGCGUAGCAGCACAUAUGUUUGAAAAAUCAGUCUCUCAUAUAGUCCAGACACAUAAAGACGGAUGAUAUCAUGACAUUUAUAGUUCUCCUCUUCCUGUUGGAGCUGUGUUUAUUAGAGGUCUACAUGUAGGCCAAGUUUCAAGUGCCUCUCUGAUCAUUUUCCGUUUCCUUUCUUGGGUGUCCUCUCAGCCAUAAUGUCAAGAUUCUUAAUGUGAUCUGUCUCUUACUACGAUCAUGUUGUUACACAACGGCAAAAAAAAAUACUGCAUAUCAUACCAGAAGCAAGCACAAAACAUGGCCAUGUGUUUCUCGCUUAAAAAACUAUGUGGCCUCUCAUUUUACACUUAACCACCACACAUCACUCCUCCUGUGUCAGCUGAUAUUUCCCAGAAACCCCCAGUCCUCCAGCGCUGGCCCAGCAUGCUCUAUUCCUUCGUUCUUUCAGUCCAUCUUCUUCUCCUGUGUGCCGACAGGACCACCUGGUGCUGCUGCUGGUUGCCAGAUUUUGGAUUAUCCUGCAUAACAAUGGGCCAAAGGAUUGUUUGGACCCCUUCCAUUCCCGGGAUGCCAGAGAGCGCUGCGCUCCUUGCCCUUCAGAGACGGCGGCCCUCCUCUCCAUCGUACACACAUGGAUGCACGACCGCUCUGGGACAGCACUCCCCCUCACACACAUUCAAACUCUUAAUUAACGUGUCCUUGUGUUUAUGGCCAUCCAGUGGCCCAUAAGGGAGUGAGUGAAGUCUAUAGCUGUGUACAUGCACAAAGACCAACACACAGUGGUCAUCUGCACUUUUAACACACACAUGGUGAGGAAAACAGAUGAAUUUUUGUAGUAAAACCCAAACAAAGGACAUUUCUGAAGAACAAAAGCCUAACUUGAUGUGGGCUGAAUAAGUAAACACAGACAUGUGUGUAUCUGUGUUUGUGUUUUCAUAAACAGUCUUUCUAGGAAGCUGCAAUAUUAAAACUCAGAAAUGUCAAAACCAACAAAACAAACCUCUUCUCAACUUUACUUCUGAGAGACUCGGCCUCUCUGAGACGUCCUUUUUGUUCCCCAUCAUGUCACUAACCUGUUGCAGAAAAGCUCUGAUUUGUUGGAAAAUGUUCCUUCAAGUGUUUUGUUUUGUUUUUUUUAGCAUCACACGACUUUGUCAGGGUUCCUUGUCCUAACUUAUUUGAUGAGUCACUGACAUCAAAUUCAAAAUGACCAGCUG